Molecule: ribosomal RNA, 1538 nt
Filed under: Parabacteroides distasonis
Lineage: Bacteria; Pseudomonadati; Bacteroidota; Bacteroidia; Bacteroidales; Tannerellaceae
Description: bacterial SSU rRNA
Rfam family: Bacterial small subunit ribosomal RNA
Source: RNAcentral
CAAUUUAAACAACGAAGAGUUUGAUCCUGGCUCAGGAUGAACGCUAGCGACAGGCUUAACACAUGCAAGUCGAGGGGCAGCACAGGUAGCAAUACCGGGUGGCGACCGGCGCACGGGUGAGUAACGCGUAUGCAACUUGCCUAUCAGAGGGGGAUAACCCGGCGAAAGUCGGACUAAUACCGCAUGAAGCAGGGAUCCCGCAUGGGGAUAUUUGCUAAAGAUUCAUCGCUGAUAGAUAGGCAUGCGUUCCAUUAGGCAGUUGGCGGGGUAACGGCCCACCAAACCGACGAUGGAUAGGGGUUCUGAGAGGAAGGUCCCCCACAUUGGUACUGAGACACGGACCAAACUCCUACGGGAGGCAGCAGUGAGGAAUAUUGGUCAAUGGCCGAGAGGCUGAACCAGCCAAGUCGCGUGAGGGAUGAAGGUUCUAUGGAUCGUAAACCUCUUUUAUAAGGGAAUAAAGUGCGGGACGUGUCCCGUUUUGUAUGUACCUUAUGAAUAAGGAUCGGCUAACUCCGUGCCAGCAGCCGCGGUAAUACGGAGGAUCCGAGCGUUAUCCGGAUUUAUUGGGUUUAAAGGGUGCGUAGGCGGCCUUUUAAGUCAGCGGUGAAAGUCUGUGGCUCAACCAUAGAAUUGCCGUUGAAACUGGGGGGCUUGAGUAUGUUUGAGGCAGGCGGAAUGCGUGGUGUAGCGGUGAAAUGCUUAGAUAUCACGCAGAACCCCGAUUGCGAAGGCAGCCUGCCAAGCCAUGACUGACGCUGAUGCACGAAAGCGUGGGGAUCAAACAGGAUUAGAUACCCUGGUAGUCCACGCAGUAAACGAUGAUCACUAGCUGUUUGCGAUACACUGUAAGCGGCACAGCGAAAGCGUUAAGUGAUCCACCUGGGGAGUACGCCGGCAACGGUGAAACUCAAAGGAAUUGACGGGGGCCCGCACAAGCGGAGGAACAUGUGGUUUAAUUCGAUGAUACGCGAGGAACCUUACCCGGGUUUGAACGCAUUCGGACCGAGGUGGAAACACCUUUUCUAGCAAUAGCCGUUUGCGAGGUGCUGCAUGGUUGUCGUCAGCUCGUGCCGUGAGGUGUCGGCUUAAGUGCCAUAACGAGCGCAACCCUUGCCACUAGUUACUAACAGGUGAUGCUGAGGACUCUGGUGGGACUGCCAGCGUAAGCUGCGAGGAAGGCGGGGAUGACGUCAAAUCAGCACGGCCCUUACAUCCGGGGCGACACACGUGUUACAAUGGCGUGGACAAAGGGAGGCCACCUGGCGACAGGGAGCGAAUCCCCAAACCACGUCUCAGUUCGGAUCGGAGUCUGCAACCCGACUCCGUGAAGCUGGAUUCGCUAGUAAUCGCGCAUCAGCCAUGGCGCGGUGAAUACGUUCCCGGGCCUUGUACACACCGCCCGUCAAGCCAUGGGAGCCGGGGGUACCUGAAGUCCGUAACCGCGAGGAUCGGCCUAGGGUAAAACUGGUGACUGGGGCUAAGUCGUAACAAGGUAGCCGUACCGGAAGGUGCGGCUGGAACACCUCCUUUCUGGA